ACCUGGGAAGUUGGUUUUACCUGAGGUAGUGCGCUAACCCGCAAGGGAGGCAGCUAACCACGGUAGGGUCAGCGACUGGGGUGAAGUCGUAACAAGGUAGCCGUAGGGGAACCUGCGGCUGGAUCACCUCCUUUCUAAGGAUGAUCCUUCAGAGAGCUUCGGCUCACUAUCGGAUCGUUUUAGAAACAUCAGUGGCCAACGGUCGUCAGGAUCGUUGAGCUGCAUUGGCGGGAUUUCGCCGUCUACGUUUCUCUUUCUUCGCGGACGAACACGCGCUGGGGCUGCAAGCUUGCAGAUCCCUGGUCCUUGACUGGAUAUGCGUUAGGGGCUUGUAGCUCAGUUGGUUAGAGCGCGCGCUUGAUAAGCGUGAGGUCGGAAGUUCAAGUCUUCCCAGGCCCACCACACUCAUCGAGUGAGCAUUCGUCUUCUGGUUACGGGGCCAUAGCUCAGCUGGGAGAGCGCGUGCUUUGCAAGCAUGAGGUCGUCGGUUCGAUCCCGUCUGGCUCCACCAGAUGGUUUGAUUGCCGGCGCAGCUUGCACCANAAAUCGUCCGCGAAACAUCACUUCGCACUUACUAGUCCGGAUGGACAGUGAGCUGCGUGUUUUCUGACAUUGUAAAGAGGAGAUCGAUCCGAGUUGGAUCGUGCAGAGAAUAUCUGCGCGAGACUUCAUUAUCUCCGGAUCAUUUCGGCGCUCACGCGUCCUUCAAGGCAGCCCUCGGGUUGCUUCUGAAAGACACGAGAGUUGUAAAUGAUCCUUUUAGCGAAGCUUGACCGCCUCGCUAUCGGAACGAUCUUACGAAGCAAGCUGGUCUUUCUAAUCAUUGUCCGGCUGCAGAUAGCGUUCAUCGAGGGCGCGUGCCUUAGAGACUUAGGUUUCUUGGUAAUUCUGCAGACAACAUUCUGCCGAGUGUGUGGACAUUGAUAAUGAGAGCAAUCAAGUGCCUUAAGGGUGUUCGGUGGAUGCCUUGGCGCUGAGAGGCGAUGAAGGACGUGCUACGCUGCGAUAAGCCGUGGGGAGCUGCGAAGAAGCUUUGAUCCAUGGAUUUCCGAAUGGGGAAACCCACCUUCGAUAGCCGGAACUCCAAGACCUUUGUCGAAAGACAACGGUGUGGGGUUCGAUCAGAAAUGAGAGAUGCCUAAGCCUUUAGAUUUCGAUCGAAGAGGUUUUGGAUUUUCCGGUUAUCAAGAGAAGGUAUGAGACUUCUGAAUACAUAGGAGGUUUCAAGCAAACCCAG
RNAcentral lists this small RNA (1237 nucleotides) under Bradyrhizobium sp. P81. RNAcentral describes it as "bacterial LSU rRNA". The stretch from base 935 to 1237 matches the Rfam family "Bacterial large subunit ribosomal RNA", at positions 1 to 188 of the family's 2925-position model. Lineage: Bacteria; Pseudomonadati; Pseudomonadota; Alphaproteobacteria; Hyphomicrobiales; Nitrobacteraceae. The record is from RNAcentral.